GAUGAACGCUGGCGGCGUGCUUAACACAUGCCAGUCGAACGGUGAACACGGAGCUUGCUCUGUGGGAUCAGUGGCGAACGGGUGAGUAACACGUGAGCAACCUGCCCCUGACUCUGGGAUAAGCGCUGGAAACGGCGUCUAAUACUGGCUAUGUGACGUGACCGCAUGGUCUGCGUGUGGAAAGAUUUUUCGGUUGGGGAUGGGCUCGCGGCCUAUCAGCUUGUUGGUGAGGUAAUGGCUCACCAAGGCGUCGACGGGUAGCCGGCCUGAGAGGGGGACCGGCCACACUGGGACUGAGACACGGCCCAGACUACUACGGGAGGCAGCAGUGGGGAAUAUUGCACAAUGGGCGCAAGCCUGAUGCAGCAACGCCGCGUGAGGGAUGACGGCCUUCGGGUUGGAAACCUCUUUUAGCAGGGAAGAAGCGAAAGUGACGGUACCUGCAGAAAAAGCGCCGGCUAACUACGUG
This 469-nucleotide ribosomal RNA is filed under the name uncultured bacterium. RNAcentral describes it as "partial 16S ribosomal RNA". It matches the Rfam family "Bacterial small subunit ribosomal RNA", at positions 28 to 507 of the family's 1533-position model. The record is from RNAcentral.